GCGAGUGGCGAACGGGUGAGUAAUGUAUCGGAACGUAUCCAAUAAUGGGGGAUAACUAAUCGAAAGGUUGGCUAAUACCGCAUACGCCCUACGGGGGAAAGCAGGGGAUCUUCGGACCUUGCGUUAAUGGAGCGGCCGAUAUCUGAUUAGCUAGUUGGUGGGGUAAAGGCUCACCAAGGCAUCGAUCAGUAGCUGGUCUGAGAGGACGACCAGCCACACUGGAACUGAGACACGGUCCAGACUCC
Molecule: ribosomal RNA, 245 nt
Filed under: uncultured bacterium
Lineage: Bacteria
Description: partial 16S ribosomal RNA
Rfam family: Bacterial small subunit ribosomal RNA
Source: RNAcentral